AGAGUUUGAUCAUGGCUCAGGAUGAACGCUGGCGGCGUGCUUAAUACAUGCAAGUCGUGCGGUAACAGAGGAAGCUUGCUUCCUGCUGACGAGCGGCGGACGGCUGAGUAACACGUAGGAACGUACCCCGAAGUGAGGGAUAAGCACCAGAAAUGGUGUCUAAUACCGCAUGUGCUCUAAGGAGUAAAGCUUAGGCGCUUUGGGAACGGCCUGCGUCUGAUUAGCUUGUUGGUGAGGUAAUUGCUCACCAAGGCGACGAUCAGUAGCUGGUCUGAGAGGAUGACCAGCCAGACUGGGACUGAGACACGGCCCAGACUCCUACGGGAGGCAGCAGUAGGGAAUUUUCCACAAUGGGCGAAAGCCUGAUGGAGCAACGCCGCGUGCAGGAUGAAUGCCUUCGGGUUGUAAACUGCUUUUAUAUGUGACGAUUAUGACGGUAGCAUAUGAAUAAGGAUCGGCUAACUCCGUGCCAGCAGCCGCGGUCAUACGGAGGAUCCAAGCGUUAUCCGGAAUUACUGGGCGUAAAGAGUUGCGUAGGUGGCAGAGUAAGCAGACAGUGAAAGCGUGUGGCUCAACCAUACAUCCAUUGUCUGAACUGCUCAGCUUGAAGACGAGAGAGGUAGAUGGAAUUCCUAGUGUAGGAGUGAAAUCCGUAGAUAUUAGGAGGAACCCGAUGGCGUAGGCAGUCUACUGGCUCGUUCUUGACACUAAGGCACGAAAGCGUGGGGAGCAAACGGGAUUAGAUACCCCUGUAGUCC
Molecule: ribosomal RNA, 758 nt
Filed under: uncultured bacterium
Lineage: Bacteria
Description: bacterial SSU rRNA
Rfam family: Bacterial small subunit ribosomal RNA
Source: RNAcentral